CCCGUUUUACCGUGCGUUUCUAAAAAACAUCUUACCGGUAUUGCACUAAUGUUUUUUUCACUUAUGUCGCUUUGAAUUCACUUGUCAUUAGAUGCAAAACAAAUUGUCAUUUACGAAUAUUUAAUAAGUUAGUUGUUUAAUAAUUAAGCCAGAAGCUCUCAACCUGAGUACUUACGAAAACGCCAAUAUUCCCGAUAAACCACACUGCUUUCUGUGAUUUGCGAAGGAUGUUAAGGACUCUAGCUUGGACUAUCAUGAAGAUACAAGUGCAGAACUUUUUUAAAACCAAGUAAAAUUCAAACAACACUUUAAAAUAAUUUUCAAAAGUCGGAACAACCACAUGGAACCUAAUGAACAAACAAGCCGCCAGAUAAAAGUCCAUUUGUUGCACUCUCGAGUAAAUUCUUUAAGGCCGUUUUCAAUUUUCCCGCCAUACUCCAGAAAAUGAAAAAAUCUACGGCCCAGCGUUCUCGAGUUGAAGAGUCUGCUGCUGUUGUAGGAAUUUCGCAGCCGCAGGAAAACCCUGCAAAUCGAAUCCUGGCGGUGCCACUAUAGCCCCGGCCGCGCUGGCAGUUCCUGCAAAAUCAGUUUUCAUGGCA
Molecule: long non-coding RNA, 599 nt
Organism: Cylas formicarius (sweet potato weevil)
Lineage: Eukaryota; Metazoa; Arthropoda; Insecta; Coleoptera; Brentidae
Exons: 3
Source: RefSeq, a predicted model, not a curated record